UCCGCCAGGGUACUACGAGCGCUAGCUUAAAACCCAAAGGACUUGACGGUGUCUCAGACCCACCUAGAGGAGCCUGUCCUAGAACCGAUAAUCCACGUUUAACCUCACCACCCUUUGUUCCCCCAGCCUAUAUACCGCCGUCGCAAGCUUACCCUAUGAAGGAUAAACAGUAAGCAAAAUGGAUAAACUCCAAAACGUCAGGUCGAGGUGUAGCUCACGGGGUGGGAAGAGAUGGGCUACAUUUUCUAUAUCAGAAUACACGGACGACACUAUGAAACUAGUGCCUAAAGGUGGAUUUAGUAGUAAAAA
Molecule: ribosomal RNA, 309 nt
Filed under: Petitella bleheri (rummy-nose tetra)
Lineage: Eukaryota; Metazoa; Chordata; Actinopteri; Characiformes; Acestrorhamphidae
Description: partial 12S ribosomal RNA
Rfam family: Bacterial small subunit ribosomal RNA
Source: RNAcentral